RNAcentral lists this long non-coding RNA (509 nucleotides) under Brassica napus (rape). Its description in RNAcentral is "long non-coding RNA (BNAP_LNC024258)". The record is from RNAcentral. Lineage: Eukaryota; Viridiplantae; Streptophyta; Magnoliopsida; Brassicales; Brassicaceae.
GAAAACUUACAAUUGGGCUAUAAAUUGAAGGCCUAAAAGACGUACUCAAAUUAACUAAUUAAUUAUCAUGGCCAGAUAUCACCUUUCUCAAACUUAAAAUUGUGCUACAAAUAGAAGGCCCAAGGGAUAUAUAGCGAGGCAAGUUGAAGCUUAGUGAGAAUAUCUGAUCAUCUGCAUCCAAAUCCAUCACUCAGUUAACACACUGAGAGAUUGGCAGUGUGAUUGUUGCUAUUUAGAAAGGUAAUACAACUAGUUGUAUGAUAUUUAACAUCAUUGUUCCACCUAGCUAGACAGUGUUCCAUUCUGUUAAAGAACUUUCUCUCAAUCAACUCUAAUCAUUGCUAAUAUACGUUCAAAGGUCUCGCUGACAUUCUCUCAGCAUGUUUCUUCUAAACUUAUCACUGCCUUAUUGUAGUAAAAUAUUUAUAGAGAUGUGAAAGAUCAUUCAAACUCACCCUAGCCGAGACACCAAGCUACAAGUGUGUUAUUGAUAGCCAUGGAGAAUCCUG